Molecule: transfer RNA, 76 nt
Filed under: Acidobacteriota bacterium
Lineage: Bacteria; Pseudomonadati; Acidobacteriota
Also listed under: 1 other name
Description: Acidobacteria bacterium tRNA-Arg
Rfam family: tRNA
About the family: Transfer RNA (tRNA) molecules are approximately 80 nucleotides in length. Their secondary structure includes four short double-helical elements and three loops (D, anti-codon, and T loops).
Source: RNAcentral
GACCCUGUAGCUCAACGGAUAGAGCGCCUGCCUUCUAAGCAGGAUGUUGGGGGUUCAAGUCCCCCCAGGGUCGCCA